AAAUUGAAGAGUUUGAUCAUGGCUCAGAUUGAACGCUGGCGGCAGGCCUAACACAUGCAAGUCGAACGGUAACAGGAAGCAGCUUGCUGUUUCGCUGACGAGUGGCGGACGGGUGAGUAAUGUCUGGGAAACUGCCUGAUGGAGGGGGAUAACUACUGGAAACGGUAGCUAAUACCGCA
RNAcentral lists this ribosomal RNA (179 nucleotides) under Escherichia coli. RNAcentral describes it as "partial 16S ribosomal RNA". It matches the Rfam family "Bacterial small subunit ribosomal RNA", at positions 1 to 173 of the family's 1533-position model. Lineage: Bacteria; Pseudomonadati; Pseudomonadota; Gammaproteobacteria; Enterobacterales; Enterobacteriaceae. The record is from RNAcentral.